RNAcentral lists this long non-coding RNA (3697 nucleotides) under Xyrichtys novacula (pearly razorfish). Lineage: Eukaryota; Metazoa; Chordata; Actinopteri; Labriformes; Labridae. The record is from RNAcentral.
UGAAAAUGGCGAGUGCCCCAGAAGAACCUGCACCAUCAACCAGAGGUGACCACUGAAGAGCUGCAGCUGCAGUUAUAAUAACAUGACUCUUUUGAUUAGAACUCAUUAAUCCACUUUCUGUUUUCUGUCCUCGUUUCAUGCAUGCACAGAGCAGUUGGCAUGUGUGGCUGUAACCCGGGAUUCCCACUGCAUCCGGAACGGCUCCGAUCCAGAACGGCGAAGAUUUUCGCUGUACGCCAAUUCCUACCAGCUCCGUUUGUGAGGCAAAUUUCGUGGCAGAUUACAGACAGCAGGAAUCACGAAAACUGACAAGAACCUGCAGAUUCACAUGCAAUCGCUCGAUAAAAAGUUGUCUUUAGCCACAUAGGCUAACAUAUAAGCAGUAGAUUGUGUCCUUCCAGGGGAGGAAAUCUGCUUGUAGACUUAAAAAAUCAGCAUCCUCUCAUCCAUGGCGUCAUCAGGGUAAAAUUCUGUCUAAAAACCUUUCACUUGUUCGUUUGUUUGUUGUUCACUUGUUUAUUUUGAAAAGAAGCCGGAUGUUUUAUUUUGCAUCUGUGCUCGACUUCCUUUCCAGCACAGACUAAUCCGUGCUGAAUUUAUCUGGCAGACUCUGGCGUCUGGAAAAUAGAACUCUUGCGAUCAGCUGCAGAAUCCAGCGAUCCGCAGCGGAACGGAGAGAAGCCGGUGGAAAUUGACACAUUAACUUGGAUGGUUACAAUCAGCUACAAUCGGCAGAUAGUGCCUUUUCAUAGCCGUUCCAGAUGCAGUGGAAAUUGGGGGUAACCUUUGACAUCUCGACUCUGCAACACUGAAGUAUAAUAGCAACAAUGAAGGAGGAUGCUAAAUUGCACAGCAAGUGAAAGUGGUUCUGCAUACAUGCCUGUGCAGAUCACUCCAGGUCACAUUGCCUUUUCAGUGGGAUGCAGAUUCAUUGCAGAGGCUUUCUUACUUCCACAUCCUCAGGGUUGUUAUAGGACCCCAAAAUUAGUUCAAAUCAGGUUCUUUUGUACUUUGAUAGAAAAUAACAUGCAGUUUCACGUACUCCUGUUUGUAUACCUGCACAGGGCACAAAAGGCAACAACAUCUCACUGUUUCCUAUUCCUUAUCUGGCUCAAGUAUGGGUGUGUAAUUGUGCCUCAGUGCAGCUCACACAGAGCAUUAUGUGAGCAGAAUAAACUGCCCAGCCCCCAGACAGCCGUUAGCUGACACGCACAAUGCUAACAGAGUGAAGGUAAACACGGGCACCUGCUCAUAGAGAUUAAUGUGGGCACCGGGGCCAGUAAAAACAUCAUUAUCAUUCAGUCUUAUUUAGUCGGCUCUGCAGUACAAGGUCGGCCCAGAUGUUCUGUGGACGGAGAGCAGCAUAUCAAUAGUGUAGCAGUCUCAUUAUUAGGCAGGAGGGUGUUGUAUACACACAGAUAUAUACGGAAACACAGCCUCUGUCGGUGAGCUGACUCGUAAUGAAGCGUUGUUGAUCUGUUUAUGUUUCCUGGAAAACAUUUAAAUAAGUCCUGUUUUAAUAAAUCACUGCAAUCUAAUGAUCAAACUUUACUUUGUUCCUCCUGUUUCAGAGGAAACAGCUGCUGGGGUCAUUGCCAGGGAUUGUUUUUGUCACAACACAAAGAGAGUAAUGAAUUAGCUCGUCUGUUAAUGAGAACCUGAUGUAAAAAGAGGAUCUACCGGGACAAUUUGAUUACCCAGAAUGCACUCUGAGUCAUGCUGCUUUGACAAGACAGGUAGCAAACACAAGGAAAAUGAAAAUUGAUCAUUUCUGUAUCAUUACGACUUUUGUCUGUGUUUUAAAUCACUCUCCACACGGGGUGUGAUAGCAGCACGAGUGCAACAGAUAUCAGCUUUCAAAUGUGAUUUUAUAUCAGUUUUAAGCAAGAGCUGUGAAUAUAAUGGGUAUAAGAAGUCAAAGAUAAUGAAUAAAAAAGGUACUUUUGUUCGAGUAGCUUGCUUAUCUCAAUAUAUUUGGAAAAUUUGAUGGCUUUGUAAAGUGAUCUUUGGGGUUUGUCCCUUUGAGAUUGGAAAAACCUGUAAAUGUGUUUCCAACUUCAGAAGAGUAUAACUUGUGAUUUCACUCAGAAUUUUUCUCCCACUGAAGUUUGUUCUCUCUUUGAUUUUUGCAUUAACUCAGCGAACUGAUGCCAUGGAAAAUGUAGAGAGUUGUAGUACUCCCUCCUUAGUAUACACCAUAGACUGUAUAUACUAUGGACAAUUUGGUUUUGCCUUCCGCCAGUAUACAGGUUCGAAAAGCUCCCAGUAAUUCUGUGAUUUUUCUCCAUUUCCUGAAACCGCAGUGGCGUUGUACGCACUUCACCACUUGCACAGUAACAUUGUACAUAUUCGGCGGGAGGGUCGCGGGGAGCUAUAUUCAACAUUUAGGGAAUCCAUAGGGAUUGCUGGAGGAGGCGGGAUUUAUGACCUACAGUGCAGCCUGUCACCAGAGGGUGCUGUUCCCGGAGUGGCUUCACCCAGCGAGGAGGCAGAUAGCAUCCACUCUAUAUACAGUCUAUGGCUAUAAUCCACCAGUUACACCUUUUGAGCGAAUGUUCAAAGCUAUCUGUCAGUGUCAAUUGUAACUCUAUUUUAGUUUUGGUUACAUAGGCUGCUGUUGUAGUCAUGUAGUGCUUAUGGGUGUUACUUUUUACACAGCUUUGUAGUCAUAAAACAACCCAAAGUAGAUGGCGUCCGUUUUAUAUACAGUCUAUGGUAUACACUCUUACAACAGGCUGGCAGCAAAAAAUUCAAAUUGAAAUGGAUUUGUGAAAGUCCUGACCUGACAAGGACUGGUUCACAUGAUAAUGACCACAGAGGACCUCAUUCACAACUAUCCCAGCUAACUUUUCACCAAACACCUCUGAGGAGUUCUGAUAAACCAGCUGCUCCAUCUGCAUCCAUACCAAUAUUUUUAAGUUCUCCACCGCUGACCAUCCUGUAAGCUACCACCUCUUUCAGUCACUUUCUAACCAGAACACUGUGUCAGUUUGAAGCUUUGCAAGAUGGAUUCCCCUCAUGACAGACUGGUGCAUGGACUUUUAAUUUAUUAGGAAACCAAACAUUUAGACUGUGUGCUCUAAAAAAGAAGGUGUCACUCAGUUAAAGAUGUGUCUGCAGAACAGAGAGGUAACCACACCUGUAUGAGACAGACAGCUCUCCUCUUUUCUUCCACAGCCUUUCCAUCAUCGUCUCUCCUGACUUGUGAUUUGUCUGGCUGGGAUCUUGUGUGGCAACCUCAUCCAUCUUUAUCCCUGCUUCGAGAAGCUCACGGUGACGGGCGCCGGAUGACAAGUGUUGGAGAGUCGAGCCGCCAGCGUUUAUCUAUCAGUGCAUCUCGUCAGCUUCACCCUCUGAGAGCUCUGAAGGGCGACUUCCUCGAACUGAAACUGAAACUAAAGAGACAAACUGCGGGAUGAGGCCUGCAGGCUGUUCUCCUCCCCAGACAUGAUUUUUACCAUUUCCAGCUUCAUAUUCAGGGCUGAUGUUGCAGAAACAGAGGAACAUGAUGUUUAGUUUGACUCUGUAGGCAAAUUCGAAAACUAAAUCUUAGUUUUUAAGAAGAAAAAAUAAAGAAUGAGGUGUGAGAGGUCUCAGAAGUUUGGUUUGAGAGUAGGGUCAACUAUCCAGAGAUGCGGGCAGGUGAUUUAUGAAAGAGACAUCCAUGUUAACCUCAUAAUGAAGAUUUUAUGACGGC